Molecule: small RNA, 262 nt
Filed under: Loxodonta africana (African savanna elephant)
Lineage: Eukaryota; Metazoa; Chordata; Mammalia; Proboscidea; Elephantidae
Description: 7SK RNA (ENSLAFG00000033046.1)
Rfam family: 7SK RNA
About the family: 7SK was discovered as an abundant small nuclear RNA in the mid-70s but a possible function has only recently been suggested. Two independent studies have found that 7SK RNA binds the CDK9/cyclin T complex (known as elongation factor P-TEFb).
Source: Rfam by way of RNAcentral
GGAUCUGAGGGUGAUCUGGCUUGAACACCUGUCACCAAAUUGGUUGUUGGGUUUGAUCCUGUAUGGUGGACUGAGUGGUCUUCCUCCCCCAUUGCUCCUCUAGCAUCCUUCCUAAAUUUUCAUGCUGAGUCUAAGGUCCCAACAAGUGGAAAACUCUUCUCCCGUCAAAGAUAUUCAAUUAUGAAGUAUCUCUUUGAGACAAAACUUUCUGCAUAAUCCGUAGGGACCAAUUUUAUGGUUCUUAAAAUAGUUCUCUCUAAUG